This is a long non-coding RNA of Dromaius novaehollandiae (emu), 2165 nucleotides long. RefSeq lists it as uncharacterized. The transcript has 3 exons. Lineage: Eukaryota; Metazoa; Chordata; Aves; Casuariiformes; Dromaiidae. The record is from RefSeq and is a predicted model, not a curated record.
UGAAAGAAAAAUUCAAGUUUAACCGGGGAAAUUUUGUAGUAAAAGUAGAACAACAGCUGUGGAGUAUGAACCAGGACAUUUAAACAAGAUGUCGCACUUGUGGCGUGAUUGAAUUUCUGUGAGACCAUUUCCUUCGUGACAACUACACAGUUAGGCACUUCCUCUAGGUACAAGCCCAUCAUCCUCUUUUAGCCUGGAUCCAUGGACUGUGGCUCUAUUUUGACAACUUUGGUAGUGCGACAUGAAAAAGCAUAAAUGUAUACCCUGCAAUUCCUGUGAAAUUAGUAUUUAAUUAAUUCAUUUAAAGUUGCAGUGCCUAAAAAGAGAUGAUUUUUCUCCAUUACAUCUUGAUUUUUUUCCUUAAACACUAUCAACACCUUUGAAAUGGCUUUCUUUGCCUCUGCACUAGCCCCUUUUGUUUUAAGUUCUGGUAAUUGGGAUGAUCUUAAAUCAGUAACCAGAGAGUUGACUGAUAUUUUUAAUAUACAGUAAAUCCUGCUCACUUACUUUCCAAAAAAGUCCCCUAGCUUUCUACCAAAGAUUUUCAACAGCAUGGCACAAUUCAAAUAAUGCCUUUUCAAGGUUACUAUAAUUAAAGUGGUACAGAGGGAAAACAUGGCAUCACCUUUCCUUUGUAAGAUUGACUGUUAUCAGUUUCAUUGUUUUUCUGUAAAGUUUUGACCCUAUUGUCUUUCAUCCAGUAAAGAUAAAGCACUGCAGUUUUGUAUUCAGUUUACAAAUUGCAACUAAUACUGGCAUAUAUAAAAUGAUGAUCUAGUGUAAUCACUUACAGCAAGGUUUGUAGUUUGAUGUAUGACUUAAAAUGAUCAUGAAAUGACUGCCACGAAAAGAAGCAGUCUUACCCCAUUUUUCCCAUCUCUUUCCAACCCACAACUAGCCCCUUGUUUAAUGCUGUAAGCUGCUUCCUCCCUUGUGUUGGCACUCAUAAACUGAGCUGGGAAACUGAUUUGGUUUAAAAAUAAUCUGACUUUUAAAAUAGCUACUUUUAAUGAGGAUGAAUUCACUGAAGUUGUUCACUGUGCAGCUAUCUAAAUGUUUGGGAUGACUGAAUGCCCUGUGCAUAGGAAAAGCCUUUUAAAAAAUGUCAUGCUCCUUUAUUUCAGUUGUUGGAACUGACAUCAAAUACAUUCUGAAAUGUCCCAAGAAGACUAAAGGUGGCAGCUGAAAGGAAGGUAUGUGACAGUCCUCCUGUUUUGCACAACAGAAGCUCCUCCUGCAGCUGUGCCUAAAAUGGGUUUUUCACGCAUGGUUAUCUGUUUUCAAAACUACAAAGGAACCGGAAUCUAGCACUGUAGCCACUGGAGAAUUGUUCCCUCUAGGAGAGCAGGUACUAGAGAAAAACCUGGACUGCGAACCUAAAAUCAACACAGUUAUCGAAUAUGAGCCAAAACAGCAAAUCCAGAUUUGUGAAUGCCCAAGUGGCUGCGGUUAUGGAGCAGUGUCCACUUCCAUUUGCAGGUCUGAGCAGAAACACACUAUCUUUGUCAUAUAUCCUCUCUGUUUCAUGCUUAGCUCUCCUCUGGACCAAAAUUUCAUCUCUCACAGGGCUAGCAGUCUUCCCUAAUCUUAUCUCCUUUGGUCUCCAGUAGAGUUUCUCCCCACUUCUACGUAUGUCCUGUAGUGGCAGGAUAGCGUCCCUGAAAUGCAUCACAUCUCUGAAUAAUUCUGACAUUCUGUUCCCUGUGGUCCCGUUACACCUCUGAACAUUACUGAAUACAUUCAGCCACAUGGCAUGUACAAGCUGGAGCCUUCUCAUGAAAAUGAAAGAAAGUGCCUGGGGUCUGAGAAAGAAAGGUAGCUCUUUUCUUUUCAAACUUGCUGAAAGAUGAGUCACACUAUCUUUAAUCCAGUACCUCAGUACUUACUGCAAUCAGUCAGAGAAGGAGAAAUCUGUGUCCCCCCACACCCUGUCUGAGGGAUGUGCUCUAAUCACCAGGCAAUAGGUCAUGUUAGUAGCAAUGAAUCACAUUAUAUGCUGCUACUGAUUGCAAGUGAAAAAUCUUGCUUGCCUGUUGUGUAAUGCUGCUUUAGUAUCAGAUCGGGUUACCUACGCAGCUAAUUCACACUGCACAGCACCACAUAGCAGUAGGAAUACAGUACAGCUUUACAAAUUGAGUUUAGAUUUGUGCUAUCCACUGCUCUGU